AGAGUUUGAUCCUGGCUCAGGAUGAACGCUAGCGGCAGGCCUAAUACAUGCAAGUCGAGGGGCAGCAUAGUAGCAAUACUGAUGGCGACCGGCGCACGGGUGCGUAACACGUAUGCAACCUACCUUUUACAGGGGGAUAGCCCGGAGAAAUCCGGAUUAACACCGCAUAAGAUAUAGAGAGGGCAUCUUUUUUAUAUUAAACAUUUAUGGGUAAAAGAUGGGCAUGCGUCCAAUUAGCUAGUUGGUAGUGUAAUGGACUACCAAGGCGAUGAUUGGUAGGGGUUCUGAGAGGAAGGUCCCCCACACUGGUACUGAGAUACGGACCAGACUCCUACGGGAGGCAGCAGUAGGGAAUAUUGGGCAAUGGGCGAGAGCCUGACCCAGCCAUGCCGCGUGCAGGAAGAAGGCCUUCUGGGUUGUAAACUGCUUUUGAUCGGGAACAAAGAGGCCAUGCGUGGCAAGUUGAGUGUACCGAUAGAAUAAGCACCGGCUAACUCCGUGCCAGCAGCCGCGGUAAUACGGAGGGUGCAAGCGUUGUCCGGAUUUAUUGGGUUUAAAGGGUGCGUAGGCGGCCCUGGAAGUCAGUGGUGAAAUACUGCAGCUUAACUGUAGCAUUGCCAAUGAUACUUUAGGGCUUGAGUACAGAUGAGGUAGGCGGAAUUGAUGGUGUAGCGGUGAAAUGCAUAGAUACCAUCAAGAACACCGAUUGCGAAGGCAGCUUACUAAGCUGUAACUGACGCUGAGGCACGAAAGCGUGGGGAUCGAACAGGAUUAGAUACCCUAGUAGUCC
Molecule: ribosomal RNA, 790 nt
Filed under: uncultured bacterium
Lineage: Bacteria
Description: bacterial SSU rRNA
Rfam family: Bacterial small subunit ribosomal RNA
Source: RNAcentral